ACUACACAAUCUCAACCCAACGCAACACAUUGCUAUGAGGAGAGGAUAAGACCUCACAAACCCAAAAGUAAAAAAACACAACCAUCUCAAAUAAAGCAAUCAAAUCCACACAUCUCAUACCCUCUUUGUCUACUGCAAUCUAACCAUUGCACAGCCUAAAAAAGCUGAACCUCAUUGAAACAAUGUCUUGCUCCAAUCUCACAAUGUUGGUGUCUUCCAAACCUUCUCUAUCUGAUGCCUCCAACCUCUCCUUCCGUUCUGUCUUCAACCCUUUUCAGCUUCCUUCACAAAAUUCAUCUUCCUUCACCCCUUCAAGAUCCUCUAUCACUCCAAUUCAGUGUGGCCUUAGAGAGCUCAGAACCCGUAUUGAUUCUGUGAAAAACACCCAGAAAAUCACAGAGGCAAUGAAGCUUGUGGCUGCUGCAAAAGUCAGAAGAGCUCAAGAAGCUGUUGUUAAUGGCAGGCCCUUCUCAGAGACCCUUGUUGAAGUCCUUUACAACAUCAAUGAGCAGCUCCAAACUGAAGAUAUUGAUGUUCCUCUCACUAAGGUUAGGCCUGUGAAGAAGGUGGCCUUAGUUGUUUGCACUGGAGAUAGAGGUCUUUGUGGUGGUUUUAACAAUGCAAUCAUCAAGAAAGCUGAGACUAGAAUUGCUGAGUUGAAGGAACUUGGCCUUGAAUACACUGUUAUCAGUGUUGGCAAAAAGGGUAACUCUUAUUUCAUUCGUAGACCUUACAUACCGGUUGAUAGGUUUCUUGAAGGUGGUACACUUCCCACUGCUAAAGAGGCUCAAGCAAUUGCUGAUGAUGUUUUCUCACUGUUUGUGAGUGAAGAGGUUGAUAAAGUGGAACUUUUGUAUACUAAGUUUGUGUCAUUAGUGAAGUCAGAUCCUGUAAUUCACACCUUGCUUCCACUCUCACCAAAAGGAGAGAUAUGUGAUGUGAAUGGUAUUUGUGUGGAUGCUGCUGAGGAUGAGUUCUUCAGGUUAACAACAAAAGAAGGAAAGUUAACUGUGGAAAGAGACACAGUGAGGACUCAAACAGCAGAUUUCUCUCCAAUUUUGCAAUUUGAGCAGGACCCAGCUCAGAUCCUUGAUGCACUUUUGCCUCUAUAUUUGAACAGCCAAAUAUUGAGAGCAUUGCAGGAAUCACUUGCUAGUGAGCUUGCUGCUAGAAUGAGUGCCAUGAGCAAUGCAACUGAUAAUGCUGUAGAGUUGAAGAAGAACUUGUCCAUUAUCUACAAUAGGGAACGUCAGGCUAAGAUCACUGGUGAAAUACUGGAAAUUGUGGCUGGUGCCAAUGCCUUGCAAUAGUGUGCACUCUGGCUCUUACCUCAUCCAUGGUUGAAUUGAAUUUCUUUGUAGGAAUCUAUUCUCUAAACUAAGUGACUCCCACAGGAUUUUGUAUAUCAAAACAAUUAGAGCAAGUGAGAAAGUAAUCUCGUGUCAAUUCUAUUAAAUAUUAUAGUGCAUGUAAUUUAUGCCUUGUACAACAAAAUAUAUGUGAUAAGUAAGUAAUUGGAAACACAUUCUAUUGUCAUGCUUCCUUGUAAUAAAGUUAUGCAGCUAAAAAAGUUGCUGGGCCUCCGUUCGAUUAAUCAACAUAUGUAGCUUAGAAAUGCACAAAGAGGAUACAUUUCUAAUAGGCCAUCUUAGAUUCGUUAAAUAUUCAUGGGAAAUAACCAACUAAAGCAUAAUUGUGCUACAAUUGCUUUAGUCCCGAAGUUGGUCUACACAUGAUUGUUGCAAUGCCCUUUUCUGUCUUCCUGUUUUAUCCUAAACUUAUGUUCUGAUUUCUAAAGCAGAAACAUUUUGUUCGCGAAUUUAUAAGAAACUGAAUAGGAUACAUAGAACACUAAGUUUAAACAAAUUUAGAAAUAAUAGUAGAGUUUAUCCUGUGUAUGAAUUUUCAUAGACUUUAAUAGCAAAACAAAGUGUUGCCUAUCCAUAACAAAAUUUCUGUUCAUUCAUAUAUGAAAGAAAAUGUAUUAAGUUAAACACAGAAAUUAUGAAUGUUCAAAAUAUCAGUUGAAGUUGGGACUUGGGAGUAUAGUAGUUUCUUAUUAAUUGUUGGAAAAAAUUGAAGAACAUAAUUUGAGACUUAUCAAAUGACACUAUACUUAAAGAUUUAUUUGCCUUUAAAUACUGCAAACAUUUUAAAGAUUUAACACGCUCUACCAAAAUUUUUUUUGGGUAAAAAAAACAUGAAAGAAAUAUAAAUAUGAAGAAAAUAAAAACAUGAAGGAGAUAUAAAUAUGAAAAGAAUAUAAACAUUUUCAAAAACCAAAAGUUGAUAGAUCUGUAUCAAAAUAAAGUAAAAAAUUCUAUAAAUAUUGUCAAUUCCAAAACUAGUACCAUGCUACUCAUGAUAAUUCAUAAUCAAUAGUAGAAUAUAUUUUUUAAAAAAAAGAUAAAGAAUAUAUAGUAAAAUAAUCAAAAGAAAGUUAUGGACAGAAUCAGUUUCAAAAUAAAUAUAACAAUAUGUACAAUUAACUAGGGAGUGGCGGCGGAUUAAUCUGUAACAUUAUAUUAAUUUUGACAUAUAGUAAAUGUAAUUUUUUUUACAUUAUCAAUCAAUUAAUAUAUAUCAUAUAAUUUUAUAUUAAUUAUUACAUAAAUUCAUAAUUAGAUAAUAGUGUGAAAAAUUUUAUAUUGUAUAUUUAAAUUAAAUUUUAAAAUUAAUACAUAUGCAUGUAUAUUGUUGGACCUAGAGCAAAGGUUGAACAUGUCCUUUCCUUGAUAUGUUUGGUUUGAAAAGCUUAUCCCAUAGCCCAAUUUUUAUUUUUAUUUUGUUUAUAUUGUCAAUGUAAUGCAUACUUUCCAAUUUAAUUCAAAAUAGAAUAGCCAAUUAGUCAUAUGAUGAUUGUUGGUGGUCAAACAUUAGUAGGCAGCUAAAAACACCAGAUAUUCAGUUAAAAUAUAUGCAUUGCCAGUAAAAAAAAAUUGUUAAAUCCAAACUCACCUGACAAGACUACAUUAAUGAGUUGCACUGUACAUUUUUCCAACGGUUUCAUUAGUAGUGUUUUCUAGUAGAUUAUGUUGCUGGCUAUUAAAGAAAUAUAUCAUUUUUUUACUCAUAAAUUUGUUAUAGAAAUUGAUCAAUGACAGAAAUUGUUUAAGAAUAAGGAAAAAUAAUCUUAUGCAAAUAUCAUGAAAUAAGAUUUCUUGAUAGUUUUCUUAUAAAUCAAAUUAUAUACUAAUACUCAGUGAAAUUAAAAUUUAAAGGAAUUUUUUUAUUAAUUAUAUGUAAAAUAUUCAUAAAAAAUAAAAUAUAUUUUUGAAGUAAACAUAAGAGU
Abrus precatorius (Indian licorice) is the source of this 3292-nucleotide RNA transcript. It is a transcript of the gene named ATP synthase gamma chain, chloroplastic, with no coding region annotated. The transcript has 2 exons. NCBI's taxonomy places the organism in Eukaryota, Viridiplantae, Streptophyta, Magnoliopsida, Fabales, Fabaceae. The record is from RefSeq and is a predicted model, not a curated record.